RNAcentral lists this long non-coding RNA (405 nucleotides) under Oryza sativa Indica Group (long-grained rice). RNAcentral's name for it is "lncRNA OsZS97_05G024810". The record is from RNAcentral. Lineage: Eukaryota; Viridiplantae; Streptophyta; Magnoliopsida; Poales; Poaceae.
UUCGACGUCUUCUCUGCGCCCGUGUCGCGGCCAUUGGCGGAGUACGCCGGGCUCCGCCACACGGGACGGCGUGUCCGUGAACAUCGCACCGCCAACGCCGCCUGCACGACCGUUGAGACCAGCCACAACGCGUCCACGCCAACCAGCUGCGCCACGCUCGACGCCUGCCCGAGCGCACCCCACAGGCCGGAGGCCGCUUCUCGCCGGGAAGCAGCGCAUCCGCUCUCCGCCGCCGAUCCGGCCCCCGCUCCCCGCGUACGGGCCGGAGCUCCAGCCCCCACUCCACCCCGAGACCACGCCACCGUCCCGUCGCUCCGCCUCAUGGCCAGGUCGCCGCCGCUCCGCUGGAGGCCGAGAAAGCAAGCAAGCAAAAUAACAAGUGAGGAAAGGAGGAAAGCAGAGUAG